Nematostella vectensis (starlet sea anemone) is the source of this 1220-nucleotide long non-coding RNA. RefSeq lists it as uncharacterized. Lineage: Eukaryota; Metazoa; Cnidaria; Anthozoa; Actiniaria; Edwardsiidae. The transcript is spliced from 2 exons. The record is from RefSeq and is a predicted model, not a curated record.
UCAUGAACUACAGGAAAUAACAUAUCAAUUUAGAUUUCAGUAGACCUAUUCCAUGUAUAAGUAUAAUUGAAUUGUAAUCCAUGUGAUGGUAAGUAUACUAAAGCAUUUUUUAUUUUUUAUAGUCAAGAUGGGGUGUGUUACAGAUAUGUGUAUCUUUUUUAUGCUGCUGUUGUUUGAUCAAGUGGAUAUGAGCUAGCCUCGUCCCUUUGCUUCUCGGCGGGCCUAUCACGCUCUAGAUGGCUAUGACGUCACUGGCCCUUCCUGCUCUCGCCCCCGUUCCCCCGAGAAGCCUGGCAGAUUCUUCCGAAAGCGCCACAAAUGGCGUCUAUCCCUUUGACUGAAGCGACGUCAUUUUUGGCAGCCCUAAAAAACAUGCUUUCUAUCAUCAAAGCUUUAAAGAGUAAGAAAUACCACAUUUUCUUCAUGGAUCAGCAGCUGGAAAUCCCACCAGUUAUAAGUCACCAAGAUUUGCUGCCAAAAAGUCAUUACAGCGACAUUCGAGCCAAGAAGUCCAAACAUCAUUUACAAAUAUGCACAUGAAUGCUGUUAACAUCCGUUGAUCUAGUAUCCCUCCUCCCUUUAACAUUUUUAUGAUCCUCAAAAUGAAGCGUCCAGCCAUCUAACCUUGGGACUGGGUGAUGACUUGUUCCUCUGCGCCGGGUCACGUACAGGGACGAGUCGAAGGGAGCUGCUAAAGACGAUAGACACUCUAAGUUUUCCCGACGCUGCCAUAUCAUCGAAACAUAAGAGCUUUCUAAAAAUGGGGCAUGUUCCUCCUGUCCCAUUAACUUGUCCCAUUUACUUCAUAAUAUUAUUGCCUAACGUAGUAAUUAGAUACAGGACUAUUUGCGUUUUUCAUUGUCUUUAUAUUAGAAUUAAUAAGGGGAAAAGAACAAAUUAUUCCUCACUGUACUUCAGCCUUUCUUUAAACGAUUUACCACUUUUAUCCUUUUAAUCCUGGUACUCAAUUUUCCUUCAUUAGAGCGGACCUUCCAGUCGAGUGGGGAUGUGGGGUGGGGUUCCCCCUUGCUUCAUGAUCGUGCACCCCCUAUAAACAUUUCGAGGCGUGCUUCAGCUCUGUGCUAUUUGGUUCUAAAAUCGACCCCGGAUAACUUUGAACCCUGAGUAACAUGGACCUUUAGCUACUACUUCAAACUGUGUAUACAUUCUUUAUAUUUAUGUACCCUCGGUAAGUCGAAAAUAAAGUGUCGCGAAAAGUU